This 420-nucleotide ribosomal RNA is filed under the name uncultured bacterium. Its description in RNAcentral is "bacterial SSU rRNA". It matches the Rfam family "Bacterial small subunit ribosomal RNA", at positions 917 to 1338 of the family's 1533-position model. The record is from RNAcentral.
GGGCCCGCACAAGCGGUGGAGUAUGUGGUUUAAUUCGAUGCAACGCGAAGAACCUUACCAGGGUUUGACAUCCUGCGAAUUUCUGGGAAACCGGAAAGUGCCUUCGGGAGCGCAGUGACAGGUGGUGCAUGGCUGUCGUCAGCUCGUGUCGUGAGAUGUUGGGUUAAGUCCCGCAACGAGCGCAACCCACGUCUUUAGUUGCCAGCAUUUAGUUGGGCACUCUAGAGAGACCGCCGGUGAUAAACCGGAGGAAGGUGUGGAUGACGUCAAGUCAUCAUGCCCCUUACAUCCUGGGCUACACACGUACUACAAUGCUACGGACAAAGAGCAGCAAGUUCGCGAGGACAAGCAAAUCUCAUAAACCGUGGCUCAGUUCAGAUCGUAGGCUGCAACUCGCCUACGUGAAGGAGGAAUCGCUAG